ACUACGGGUGGCAGCAGUGGGGAAUAUUGGGCAAUGGGCGCAAGCCUGACCCAGCAACGCCGCGUGAAGGAAGAAGGCUUUCGGGUUGUAAACUUCUUUUGUCAGGGAAGAGUAGAAGACGGUACCUGACGAAUAAGCCACGGCUAACUACGUGCCAUCAGCCGCGGUAAUACGUAGGUGGCAAGCGUUUUCCGGAUUUACUGGGUGUAAAGGGCGUGUAGACGGGUUGACAAGUCAGUUGUGAAAUCCUGCGGCUUAACCGUAGAACUGCAUUUGAUACUGUUAGUCUUGAGUACUGGUGAGGCAGAUGGAAUUCGUAGUGUAGCGGUGAAAUGCGUAGAUAUUAGGAGGAACACCAGUGGCGAAGGCGGUCUGCUAGACAGCAACUGACGGUGAGGCGCGAAAGCGUGGGGAGCAAACAGGAUUAGAUACCCGGGUAGUC
Molecule: ribosomal RNA, 442 nt
Filed under: uncultured bacterium
Lineage: Bacteria
Description: partial 16S ribosomal RNA
Rfam family: Bacterial small subunit ribosomal RNA
Source: RNAcentral